RNAcentral lists this long non-coding RNA (613 nucleotides) under Zea mays. RNAcentral's name for it is "drought-responsive long non-coding RNA". Lineage: Eukaryota; Viridiplantae; Streptophyta; Magnoliopsida; Poales; Poaceae. The record is from RNAcentral.
CUCCACCACCUGGCCGCCCACCCUCCACCUCUCGUGCUUCCCGGACGCCGCGGCCGCCGAGACGAGGGCCAGGAGCAGGAGCCACCGAGCAGUCGUCGCCACCGCCAUAAACCAAACUAACUAAGGCAGCUAGAAUCUCUGCUUUGAGUUCUUCCCCGUCACCGCACGGGCUGCGAUCUCUGCUUUUUUUGGUUCCCCAAUCCCAUUCCGUGUCCUCAUGCUGCCAUUUUGGGGUUCAAGGAAAUCAAAAUGCCAUAGUUUCACGGGAUAGACGGAUCAGCUUGGUCUGGGGAUGUCGUCAGCGUGGAUGGACGGUCAAUUUCUUCGUCCGUCGCCCAACCGGCAGCAACACAUACGCGAUGAUUUGAUUGGUUCCUUGUGUCCUAAAUGAAGGCAGGUCAGGAGAGGCUAGAGUUCCAAAUCGUAGUUCGUGUGAACCAGUGUGAACCAGUUGAAUCUCAUCAAUCUUAUCAAGUCAUCUAAUAAAAAAAGGUUCGACGCGUCUUAGAGUUCUACGAUGCAUCCAAGAAUUCAGAGAACGUUGACAAAUAUAUAGAUCAGCUGACCAACAAUGAAUUGUCAUCACCACCCAAAAAGAUGAAGCACACCCAGG